Molecule: ribosomal RNA, 449 nt
Filed under: uncultured bacterium
Lineage: Bacteria
Description: bacterial SSU rRNA
Rfam family: Bacterial small subunit ribosomal RNA
Source: RNAcentral
CCCAGACUCCUACGGGAGGCAGCAGUGGGGAAUAUUGGGCAAUGGGCGCAAGCCUGACCCAGCAACGCCGCGUGAAGGAAGAAGGCUUUCGGGUUGUAAACUUCUUUUCUCAGGGACGAAGCAAGUGACGGUACCUGACGAAUAAGCCACGGCUAACUACGUGCCAGCAGCCGCGGUAAUACGUAGGUGGCAAGCGUUAUCCGGAUUUACUGGGUAUAAAGGGCGUGUAGCCGGGUUGACAAGUCAGAUGUGAAAUCCUGCGGCUUAACCGCAGAACUGCAUUUGAAACUGUUGAUCUUGAGUACUGGAGAGGCAGACGGAAUUCCUAGUGUAGCGGUGAAAUGCGUAGAUAUUAGGAGGAACACCAGUGGCGAAGGCGGCUUACUGGACUGUAACUGACGUUGAGGCUCGAAAGCGUGGGGAGCAAACAGGAUUAGAUACCCCAGUAC